CUGCCCUCUGCUCCGAAGAAUGAGCAAGUUGAUCCUAAGGAUGCAGGAGGCACAAUUUUCUGCGGGAGGAAGGAUGACGGUGCCUUCCAGCGCGCCGACACCCGUGCCCCGCUCCCAGGCAAUGGCUCAGGCUGGGAACAAGACCCAAUGGAAGGCGUUUGGUCCGGAGCACAGAAUCCUCACAGGCCCGCAGGCUCGGAAAACAAGGUGUCUGGCCCCGCCCUCUGGGUUAAUUGCCCUGGGCGGGGCUUGGGCGGGGCCUGAGCCGCCCUGGUAGUAAAAGCAGGUCCUCGGCCAUCUCAGCCUAGGCUGGAGGAGCAGGGUGGAGGCCAGGCUCCUCGGACCCUGCGGGCGCUGGUUGGUCAGCAGGGCUCGUACCCAGCCGAGCUCCCUGGGGAGUUGGCCUGCUCUCCGACCUCUCCUGAGUGGCCAGGAUCUAGAUCUGCUGAAAGAUGUAAUUUGAUAGGGGAGUAGGGGCUCCAUGUUGGCUUUUGUUUCCAGCAGCUACUUCUGGAGGGCCCCGCAUCUCAAAGGUAUGGGACUUACUCAGGCAUGAGUGAGAUUUCCAUUCUGGUUUUGCUGGUGUGAUGUUCGUGCGUGUGUGUGCGUUUUCUCUGAUGGCCAGAGUUUCCCGGUUGAGGGGGUACAGCAGGGUGGGACACCCCCCACCCCCACCCCGUGUAUCUGGUUCCCUGUCAAGAUGUAGUCCCAUGGUAAUAUAUCAAAACCCCACUUCCCACCUGACACACGUGGGAAGCCCCUCUGCUCAGGCAUGCCCAAUCAAGCUGUUUUCCUUUCCUGGGUUUGUGUGUAGGUCUCAGAUGCCUCUGCUCCCAUAUUCGCCUCCGUUCCUGCAUUCAGUGACUCGGCUUUGCUGGGACCAUGGGAUACCCUGGACCUGGAGGAUGCCAGGAUCUGAUCAGUUGUAUUUUCAGAGAAUGAAAGAGAAGCUGAAUCCUACAAUCAUGAGGGGGCAUUUCCGUCCAGACCCGGAACGUGCCGUGCUGUGGCCCUGGGCGCAGAGGAGGAGGUGACCUGUUCAGCUCUUCCUGCUGCUCUCCUGGAAUUCAGACUUGGAAUCACUGCCAAGAACUGGUCAUCGUUGUGUUCUGAAGACGUAGGAGGGAGAAGCUCUCAACAGUUUUCUUUGUUCUGAAAAAUCUCUUCUAGGAGUUCCUGCUGUGGCCCAGUGGGUUGAGAACCUAACUGGAGUGGCAUGCGGAGGCACAGGUUCAACCCCAGGCCCAGUGCAGUGGGUUAAGGAUCCAGUGCUGUCAUAGCUGCAGCUCAGAUUCAGUCCCUGGCCUGGGAACUUCCAUAAGCCGUGGAUGCGGCCACAAAGCAAAGAAUCUUUCCUAGGAAUUCUGAGUCUAUUUGGGUACCUCCUACCUGAUGGAUUGGAGAAUUCCUUCAUCUACAGAAGGCCCGGUAGGCGGGUAGGGAGUACUUGCAUUUCUCUUGGGCUUACAUGGGGCUAAAGAGAUCAGCCACUGUGGGCUCCACAGUCUGCUCUGUACAAGUGAACAUGUGGCCGCACCCGGCGAGCACUAGACGGUGGCAGACCGAUAGGCUUCCAGGUGACAGCUCCCCGUCUAAGGGUCUCAGGGUUCCAGCAGCACCCAGGGCUCCAUCAGCCCUUCCACCAUCACAAAAGCCUCCUCAGUGGCUCGCCACCCUCCCCCACAGACACCCCAACUGAGAGGGACCCCAAAUCAUUUCUGUAGGGCUUGGUAGGCUUGGGACCCCCAGAAGCACCUGCUGUUUAAAGCAGGUGCCAGGUGGUGUGUAGGGUGAGCCAUGGUGGGGCCAUGAGCUGUGAUGUGGAAAAGAGGCAAAUAAGGGAUGAGCGUGAGCUAGACCAGGGCACUUGGUACCAGUGGCCCCCCCGCCAGGGCGGGGCCAAUGGAAGCGCAGGGUCAAGGAGACACGGCACUUUGUCCAUCAAAUAAUAAACGAGGGCUAAAAUCUAGAUGUCCUCCA
This 1980-nucleotide long non-coding RNA is filed under the name Sus scrofa (pig). RNAcentral's name for it is "lncRNA (ENSSSCG00030053010.1)". Lineage: Eukaryota; Metazoa; Chordata; Mammalia; Artiodactyla; Suidae. The record is from RNAcentral.